CCUACGGGUGGCAGCAGUGAGGAAUAUUGGUCAAUGGACGAGAGUCUGAACCAGCCAAGUAGCGUGAAGGAUGACUGCCCUAUGGGUUGUAAACUUCUUUUAUAUGGGAAUAAAAUGUUCCACGUGUGGGAUUUUGUAUGUACCAUAUGAAUAAGGAUCGGCUAACUCCGUGCCAGCAGCCGCGGUAAUACGGAGGAUCCGAGCGUUAUCCGGAUUUAUUGGGUUUAAAGGGAGCGUAGGUGGAUUGUUAAGUCAGUUGUGAAAGUUUGCGGCUCAACCGUAAAAUUGCAGUUGAAACUGGCAGUCUUGAGUACAGUAGAGGUGGGCGGAAUUCGAGGUGUAGCGGUGAAAUGCUUAGAGAUCACGAAGAACUCCGAUUGCGAAGGCAGUUCACUGGACUGCAACUGACACUGAGGCUCGAAAGUGUGGGUAUCAAACAGGAUUAGAUACCCUUGUAGUC
RNAcentral lists this ribosomal RNA (460 nucleotides) under uncultured bacterium. RNAcentral describes it as "partial 16S ribosomal RNA". It matches the Rfam family "Bacterial small subunit ribosomal RNA", at positions 338 to 795 of the family's 1533-position model. The record is from RNAcentral.